This 95-nucleotide transfer RNA is filed under the name Microbacterium album. RNAcentral's name for it is "tRNA-Ala". Lineage: Bacteria; Bacillati; Actinomycetota; Actinomycetes; Micrococcales; Microbacteriaceae. The record is from RNAcentral.
GCGCCGCCUGCAGGUGCGCGUGCGGCUCGCGCGCUGGCACCGUACGGGCGUGUACGAGCCGCUGCGCGCCGCGCGGUCCCUCGCGCGCGGCGCGC